RNAcentral lists this transfer RNA (92 nucleotides) under Desulfobacterales bacterium. Its description in RNAcentral is "tRNA-Ser". It matches the Rfam family "tRNA". From Rfam's summary of the family: Transfer RNA (tRNA) molecules are approximately 80 nucleotides in length. Lineage: Bacteria; Pseudomonadati; Thermodesulfobacteriota; Desulfobacteria; Desulfobacterales. RNAcentral also lists the same sequence under 4 other names. The record is from RNAcentral.
GGAGGAGUGCCGGAGCGGCUGAACGGGGCGGUCUCGAAAACCGUUGUGGGAGGUGACUUCCACCCAGGGUUCGAAUCCCUGCUCCUCCGCCA